AGAUCAUAGAUACUAUAGAAGACAGCGGGCUAUCGUAUCUAGUCUAUGUAUAUCUAUGGUCGGCAGGUCUGGUAGCAUCUCUGGCUGCUGUUGAUCUUGUUUUUGGAGUAAAACACGGUGGAAGCUGAAUUAGUGAGGAUGACUCCUGCUCCUGUCAUCUCUAAGCUCCUCACACAUCUUUACCUGCACAUGAGGAAAAUCACUCCUGUAGAAUGCAGAUGUUCAGAGGGAGAUGAUGCCACAUCUGGUCCAGCUGAUGGAAGGUCUUGAAGUUCUCUGACUGGCCUCGACUGAAGAUGGUCGUCUCACUGGAUUUAAGGUUCAGAUGCUCAGUAACAAACUCCACCAAUGUGCCAACAGGGAAGCUUUAGGUUUAUUAAAUGUUGCUAUGAAGGUUUCGCUGUUUUUCUUUGUGAAUGCAAUGUGCUCCAACUGAAACUUGAAUUAGAACUUAGAAGUAAAUCCUUCCAUCUGAAAGGAUUUAGUUGCAUUAAUAACCUCAUAACAUUUUAAUUUUUCUUCCAGUCUUGGUUGGAAAUAGAAUCUCUGUAUUGAUUCAGGUAAAAACUGAACUUCACAGCAUGUUGGAGCAAAACAACCAGAUGAAAACUGUGAUGGUGUUGGAUUGUCAGACCGUAAUGUUGCAGCUCAAAGCAGCUUUUCUAUCUCAGUUCAUUCUGACAUUCAGCUAUGAAUCAACACAGCAGAUGGUGAUCCAUGCUGUGGAAGUCUCACAUCUCCUGAUUUAAUGGAACUGCUUUGCACUUUUUACACUGUUUAUUUACCAACACUUUAUUUAAUAAAAGUCCCAUCUAGUUUUUAUGAGGAAUGUGAUGUUUUAAUUUCUCUGUGAAUAACUGCAGUCUAAUGGAACAGCUGGAGUUGUAACAUCUGUCCUGAUAUUGAUCAUGAAGUAUUGAUCAGAAUACUUAUGGUCAGCAGUCAUCCCUGAAGUUUUACAUUAAAACCUUUACUUGUGUUGUGAAUUUGGUAAGAAGCAUUGUAAAGUUUCUGCUCCUUCAAAGUUCACAACACAAUGAAUGAAUUUCUAAAACACUCUCAAUGCUGGAGAGCGUUUGUGAUGCUGAAGCAGUGAGCAGUUUUUCUGUUUCUUCUCUGGAGAUGCACAAUGAGGGACGUCUGCAGAGACUGAGAAAGAGUCUCACCACAUCCUGACAUGAGGAAAAAGACUUUAUUGAAGACUACAAUGAGAAAAACUAUCAGACAGCAGACGGCAUGCAUUCAAGGUGAGCUCUGAACAUUUGAUCUGGAACAGGAAUUCAAUAACGGCAGCAUGAGCUUCAUUUCAGUCUGUAGCUGCUGAAUUCAUGGAUGAAUCAUCUGGCACUAGAGAGGAAGACCAUCAAACAUCCAUGUCAGCUGAUGGAGGUCCAAGAGUCUCACCAAACAACCAACCUACAGAGUGAAGACCUCAAAUCUGAUUGGACGGCCUCCUAUUCAGCCACAUGUGACCACUUUAAUUAUUCUUCAUCUACUUCCUGAAAAGUUUGGUCAAUAAAAAAGACAAAAACUAGUAUUUUCAGCUGAACUAAAGACAGACUUUGUGAUUUUUCUGCUCACGUGUUGUGUUGUUGUAAACUUACUCUUUCAAAUAAAUAGCUGCCUAACCCCC
Molecule: long non-coding RNA, 1633 nt
Organism: Amphiprion ocellaris (clown anemonefish)
Lineage: Eukaryota; Metazoa; Chordata; Actinopteri; Pomacentridae
Source: Ensembl